UAACGCGUGAGAAUCUGGCUCUAGGUUCGGGACAACCACUGGAAACGGUGGCUAAUACCGGAUGUGCCGAGAGGUGAAAGGUUAACUGCCUGGAGAUGAGCUCGCGUCUGAUUAGCUAGUUGGUGGUGUAAGGGACUACCAAGGCGACGAUCAGUAGCUGGUCUGAGAGGAUGAUCAGCCACACUGGAACUGAGACACGGUCCAGACUCCUACGGGAGGCAGCAGUGGGGAAUUUUCCGCAAUGGGCGAAAGCCUGACGGAGCAAUACCGCGUGAGGGAGGAAGGCUCUUGGGUUGUAAACCUCUUUUCUCAGGGAAUAAGCAAGUGAAGGUACCUGAGGAAUCAGCAUCGGCUAACUCCGUGCCAGCAGCCGCGGUAAUACGGAGGAUGCAAGCGUUAUCCGGAAUGAUUGGGCGUAAAGCGUCCGUAGGUAGCAGUGUGUGUCUAUUGUUAAAGAGUUUGGCUUAACCAAAUAAGGGCGGUAGAAACUACACAGCUAGAGUGCGUUCGGGGCAGAGGGAAUUCCUGGUGUAGCGGUGAAAUGCGUAGAGAUCAGGAAGAACACCGGUGGCGAAAGCGCUCUGCUAGGCCGCAACUGACACUGAGGGACGAAAGCUAGGGGAGCGAAUGGGAUUAGAUACCCCA
RNAcentral lists this ribosomal RNA (645 nucleotides) under Fischerella sp. LMGS. Its description in RNAcentral is "bacterial SSU rRNA". It matches the Rfam family "Bacterial small subunit ribosomal RNA", at positions 111 to 789 of the family's 1533-position model. The record is from RNAcentral. Lineage: Bacteria; Bacillati; Cyanobacteriota; Cyanophyceae; Nostocales; Hapalosiphonaceae.